RNAcentral lists this ribosomal RNA (408 nucleotides) under uncultured bacterium. Its description in RNAcentral is "partial 16S ribosomal RNA". It matches the Rfam family "Bacterial small subunit ribosomal RNA", at positions 28 to 526 of the family's 1533-position model. The record is from RNAcentral.
GACGAACGCUGGCGGCGUGCUUAACACAUGCAAGUCGAACGAAGUGGCGAACGGGUGAGUAAUGCGUAAUCAACCUGCCCUUCAGAGGGGGACAUAAGUUGGAAACGACUGCUCAUACUGCAUACUGCUGGAGGGGAUUGCGUCUGAUUAGCUUAUUGGAGGGGUAACGGCCCACCAAGGCGAUGAUCAGUAGCCUGUCUGAGCGGAUGAACGGCCAAAUUGGUACUUAGACACGGCCCAAACUCCUACGGGAGGCAGCAGGGGGGAAUCUUCCGCAAUGGGCGAAAGUCUGACGGAGCAACGCCGCGUGAGUGAUGACGGCCUUCGGGUUUUAAAGCUCUGUUAAUCGGGACGCGGUACCGGAAUAGAAAGCCACGGCUAACUACGUGCCAGCAGCCGCGGUAAUUC